CGGUAGAGGAGCGUUCUGUAAGCCUGUGAAGGUGAGUUGAGAAGCUUGCUGGAGGUAUCAGAAGUGCGAAUGCUGACAUGAGUAACGACAAUGCGAGUGAAAAACUCGCACGCCGAAAGACCAAGGUUUCCUGCGCAACGUUAAUCGACGCAGGGUUAGUCGGUCCCUAAGGCGAGGCUGAAAAGCGUAGUCGAUGGAAAACAGGUUAAUAUUCCUGUACUUCCAGUUAUUGCGAUGGAGGGACGGAGAAGGUUAGGCCAGCCUGGCGUUGGUUGUCCAGGUUUAAGGUGGUAGGCUGGAAUCUUAGGCAAAUCCGGGAUUUCAAGGCCGAGAGCUGAUGACGAGUUGCCUUUAGGCGACGAAGUGGUUGAUACCAUGCUUCCAAGAAAAGCUCCUAAGCUUCAGAUAACUGGGAACCGUACCCCAAACCGACACAGGUGGUUAGGUAGAGAAUACCAAGGCGCUUGAGAGAACUCGGGUGAAGGAACUAGGCAAAAUGGCACCGUAACUUCGGGAGAAGGUGCGCCGGCGAGGGUKAAGGACUUGCUCCGUAAGCCCAUGCCGGUCGAAGAUACCAGGCCGCUGCGACUGUUUAUUAAAAACACAGCACUCUGCAAACACGAAAGUGGACGUAUAGGGUGUGACGCCUGCCCGGUGCCGGAAGGUUAAUUGAUGGGGUUAGCGCAAGCGAAGCUCUUGAUCGAAGCCCCGGUAAACGGCGGCCGUAACUAUAACGGUCCUAAGGUAGCGAAAUUCCUUGUCGGGUAAGUUCCGACCUGCACGAAUGGCGUAACGAUGGCGGCGCUGUCUCCACCCGAGACUCAGUGAAAUUGAAAUCGCUGUGAAGAUGCAGUGUAUCCGCGGCUAGACGGAAAGACCCCGUGAACCUUUACUAUAGCUUUGCACUGGACUUUGAAUUUGCUUGUGUAGGAUAGGUGGGAGGCUUUGAAGUGGGGACGCCAGUUCUCAUGGAGCCAUCCUUGAAAUACCACCCUGGCAACUUUGAGGUUCUAACUCAGGUCCGUUAUCCGGAUCGAGGACAGUGUAUGGUGGGUAGUUUGACUGGGGCGGUCUCCUCCCAAAGAGUAACGGAGGAGUACGAAGGUGCGCUCAGACCGGUCGGAAAUCGGUCGUAGAGUAUAAAGGCAAAAGCGCGCUUGACUGCGAGACAAACACGUCGAGCAGGUACGAAAGUAGGUCUUAGUGAUCCGGUGGUUCUGUAUGGAAGGGCCAUCGCUCAACGGAUAAAAGGUACUCCGGGGAUAACAGGCUGAUACCGCCCAAGAGUUCAUAUCGACGGCGGUGUUUGGCACCUCGAUGUCGGCUCAUCACAUCCUGGGGCUGAAGCCGGUCCCAAGGGUAUGGCUGUUCGCCAUUUAAAGUGGUACGCGAGCUGGGUUUAGAACGUCGUGAGACAGUUCGGUCCCUAUCUGCCGUGGACGUUUGAGAUUUGAGAGGGGCUGCUCCUAGUACGAGAGGACCGGAGUGGACGAACCUCUGGUGUUCCGGUUGUCACGCCAGUGGCAUUGCCGGGUAGCUAUGUUCGGAAGAGAUAACCGCUGAAAGCAUCUAAGCGGGAAACUUGCCUCAAGAUGAGAUCUCACUGGGAUCUUGAAUCCCCUAAAGGGCCGUCGAAGACUACGACGUUGAUAGGUUGGGUGUGUAAGCGCUGUGAGGCGUUGAGCUAACCAAUACUAAUUGCCCGUGAGGCUUGACCAU
RNAcentral lists this ribosomal RNA (1719 nucleotides) under Pseudomonas putida. Its description in RNAcentral is "bacterial LSU rRNA". Lineage: Bacteria; Pseudomonadati; Pseudomonadota; Gammaproteobacteria; Pseudomonadales; Pseudomonadaceae. The record is from RNAcentral.